This is a non-coding RNA of Rattus norvegicus (Norway rat), 9813 nucleotides long. The record is from RefSeq and is a predicted model, not a curated record. Lineage: Eukaryota; Metazoa; Chordata; Mammalia; Rodentia; Muridae.
UGUAUGACCAAAGAUUGGCACUGCCCUGUAUCUCUAACCCCCAGAGGGAUGCAGGAAGGGGUUGACUCAGCCCUCAAGGUACUUGAUGGUUUGUCAAUAACUACCUGUGUUACUGAGAGACCUAGCACAGCACUGAUACAAGACCCCUGAGACAGGGACAGGGUGAAGGUCUGAAUGAAAAUGGCCCCCAGAGACUCACAGGAAGUGGCAUUAUUGGAGGUGUGGCUUUGUUGGAGUAGGUGUGUCCUUGUUUGAAGGAAGUGCGUCACUGGGGGCGGGCUUUGAGGUUUCAGAAGCUCAAGCCAGGCCUAAUGGCUCACUGUCUUUUCCUGCUGCUUGCAGAUACUGAUGUAGAACUCUCAGCUCCCUCUCCAGUGCCAUGUCUGCCCGACUGUAACUUCUGCUGGACUGACGUCCCCUCUGUCCGUACCCCAUAAGCCUACGGCAGGCUUCACGUGGUUGGAGUAGCCUGUUUCUCCUGUGAAGUUUUCUCUGUGUUCCUCCAGACUGCCUUUCAGCUGCAUGAUCACGGCCUCUGCUCUCAGUAUGGGCUGGUUGACAUGGUUCCCUCCACCGGACUGAGCUUCGAGGGCAGGGCAGGGGCCAGGCCUCAGACCUGUGUGCAAUCAAUCAAUAAGCUCAAAUUAUGUUACACAGGUCUAAAUGAUAGACUUCCAUCAAGAUUCCAAUUAGGAGAGAUGGGAAAAUAGGUCCUGGCUCAACCCUUCAGCCCCUUGUGUAACAUCCUAGAGGGUUCCACAAACCUCCAGGUGGGAGAGACCUUGGGGGAAGUCCUGUGGAACCUGAGAUCCUCUGACAUUGCUCAGUGUGUUUUCUCUCUCAUGGGAAGAAAACGGGAUGAACGAACGCAUCGCUAUAGUCAGUGUCUCUUAAGCAAAGUGCACAGAAAUCUGUGGGGUUCUUUCUAAAGGACCUGUGCCAGGUCUACAAUAAGGAAACGACGCCAUGUUUCUAAUUGCCCUAAAGUGUCUCUUUGUCGAGAAAUUAAGGUUGCAGCUUAGUUUCUACUGAAGGCAGGGAUGGAUGCCCUACUGUGUGCUACUGUGUGGGAGAGACAGAGGACAGGCAGAGCAGACCUCAGAGCCUCCUGGCCAUUGCUGGGAAACCCAAGCCUCAACAAAGCACUUCUAUAAGUACAUCUGCUAUAACCUCUACGUAAGCCGUGCCAACGGCAGAGUUCAGACCUUCUGGACAAGAACACCCUGCCUUUGACAGAAUGUUGAAAGCAGUGUGGGAUGGCCUAAGUGUUGGUAAGGAAUGACAGACAGAGAGGCCAACAUACCACUCUUCUCCCUGUGACCUACAAUUUCUGUGACAUCACAAAGUACAGAGUGGCCCUUAGUUUUGGCAGCUGCUGAAGUAGUCAGCUGUUCAUCCCACAAGUCCAAUACGGGUCGGUAAUAGUUUAUUGUUGCAUCUGCUUGUCUCAGGGGACAGAACUGAGUGGCUUUCAGAAUGUGGCUAACAGCAACAGGCUGACCGGGAGCUCCUCAGGGGGACUUGCACUGACCGCUGGUUUCCACCAUGCUGGAUGCUCUCACCGUGAGGUGUCAGUGAUGAGAAGGCUGGAAGUGUCCCCAACUAACCAACAACUGGCUCUGGCCUCGUCCACACCAGGACUACACACCACAGCCUCAAACUCUUGUUAGAGGUCACUAUGGCAUCAGAGUUGAUCCUGAGUGUCAAGCAGAGAUCUCAGACAUGCACGGUGACUUAGGGUUUUACUGCUGUGAACAGACACCAUGACUAAUGCAAGUCUUAUAAGGACAACAUUUAACUGGGGCUGGCUUACAGGUUCAGAGGUUCAGUCCAUUAUCAUCAAGGUGGGAGUAUGGCAGCAUCCAGGCCUGCAUGGUGCAGGAGGAGCUGAGAGUUCUACAUCUUCAUCUGAAGGCUGCUAGGACAAGACUGACUUCCAAGCAGCUAGGAUGAGGGUCUUAAGGCCCAUACCUACAGUGACACACCCACUCCAACAGGGCCACACCUUCUAUAGUGCCACUCCUUGGCCCGGGUAUAUACAAACCAUCACACAUGGUUACGGGCAUCUCCAUUUUCAGGUGAAAUAAAAGGCACAGAGAGGGUAAGCCACUUCCCCAAAGCCUCCCAGCUUGGAAGUUGCAGAGCAGGGACUAGAAGCCAGGUCUGACUCCAGGGCUGAAGCAUUCACAACCAAUGCCUCUCACUGUCUGACAGGUAUCACACUGAUGAGCAGGGGUGGUCGCUCUUGUCAGGGGAGGCAGUCUGCAGUAGACCAAGCAUCCGUGGGUUCCUUCAGACAUUCUUGCCCAGCCUCAGAAUGCAUCCCACCAUCCUCCUUUCCUUCCGUAGCCUGUCACCCCUCACAUUUUUCUAUUAUUAAGAGUCUCUGCCGUGGUCCCGCUCACGACCAGCAAUGGCCAGCAAACAGCUGUCUAAAUGUCCCACGCUUGCCUGAGAGUCCCAGAGACCAGGCAGCUUCCCCAAAGAACAACCCUGGGGCUGGAGAGAUGACUCAGAGGUUAGGAGUGCUGGCCGCUCUGGCAGAGGACCCAGGUUUGACUCCCAGAACCCACAUGGCGGCUCACCACCGUCUGUGACUGCGGUUCUAGGGGAUUCGGCACCUUCUUCUGCCGUCUGUGGGGGCCAGGCAUGUGUGAGCCGCACAGACACGCACGCAGGUCAGCAUCUGUACACAUCAAAAAUAAAAAUACAGCAAAAAGCUUGCCCAGGUCAUCUGUAAUAUGCAGACCAAUGGGAACCUCCAGCAUAGAGUGGGUAGGAGACGGAUGCUCAGGGAGGGAUGCUCAGAGAACGGGAGGGAGCUUAAACGAUAAAUUAGUUCCUAACAACUGGUCAGGAGCAGCAUGGGUAGCAUGCAGGCAGGGGCAUGGGUUUCUGCUACUCCCCAGCCCACUUCUAGAAAGAGCCACUGAGGGUCCAGCACAGACAUACUGUGGGGUCGGGGUGGGGUGAGGGUGCAUGCAGGGGUCAGCUGGAGAGGGACCCAGUUUCCUACUUCAGACCUAGCAGUUUUACAGAAGGGAUUCAAUGGAGGACAUUGCAGUGUCUCAUGCACCGGAGUGUAGAGAGCGGCGCGGUGAAACAAAGAUGGCGCCGACAUCCAGCCUUGUCUGGAUAUAAACGACUUACUGCGCAUGUGCAGGCUUGUCCCCUUGCUAGGGCUCCUUCUAGUGGUGAACGGCGGUACUGCACACGUGCGGUUUAUGCACCAGGUGUCAGUUGACUGUUAAUAUGCUAAUGAGGUGAUUCAUUCUCCGCCAAUCCCUGGAGGACAAGUAGUGGGGUGAUCCAAGCCCCACCAAUCCCUGAGAGAUAAUUAGCAUACUGUUGUCUAUAUAAGCCGAGCGAUUUUGCUGCUCGGGGUCCCUGUUCAAGAGAGCUGUAACACUAAGAAGAGCUGUAACACAGUAAAGGCUUGUUCGCAGAAGAAUCCUGUUGCCGAGCGUCGUUCUUGCUGGCGGGACAUUAGGCGCGCGACACCGGAGGGUCAGUGAGGGAACAAUGAUCGUUUAAAAAGGAAUCUGUCAGAUGGAGACCGAUGUUGAGAAAUGUUCCUACUGUUACGGGGCUCUGCUGCCGAAGACGUAGAGUCCCUUAUUAAAGCUCUUAAUAUGGUAAGUUACGUUUGAAGCAAUUUUCCUAUUUGUUGAAAAAGAAGGAAAAAAAAAACUUUAAAGGGAGAGGUUUGGUGGAUUCUGCACUGUUCAUACAAAACUUCGACCUUCCAAUUAAAGUGAGGGGGACAGAGGAGCAUCAAGGAAAACUUGAAAGUUAAACAAAAAAUUCCUGCAUAAUUAGUGGGCUCGGUUCACAAUGAAGCUCAUUAAAAAGUUGAUCUCACCCUGGAGCUCAGCAAAGAUGUGGGGGAGGAGAGGGUGCAUGCGGAAAAGAUGGCUGACAGGUGUGGGCCUGGGGCAUCACGCUCUAAUGCCCACAAGUAUAACUACAGGUAACAACAGCAGUAACAACCACUGAGAUUGAGGACUGGAAUACACAAAAUCAGUGUCCCCAGAUCGUUAUCCUCCCCCACCCCCAAAUGAAACACAUUUAACCUCACGGCUUUUAACACAAAUGAUUCACCAGUUUUUUGUAAAGAUUUUUGUGCCAGUGUUCACGAGGCUAAACAUUACAAUGGCAACAUAGUGUUUUUAGAAAUUAUAUACAAAUGCUGUCAGUUACAAAAGUCCUAUAAGCCACCAAUAGAUGGUCACGGGGGUGGAGGGGGUAGGGGGUGGGAGUGGGGUGUUUGUGUAUGUUGGGGUGGUACUGUGAGUCAAACCAGGUCCUUGCACACAGAGGCAUUAUCUAGCACUGGGCUGCCUCCCUGGCUCUCUGCUUUCCAACUGGAUCUCACUGGGCAGUGUUGUCCUUUUUCCUGGAUCUCCCUAUAAGCCCGAGCAGGCCUUGAACCCGUGACCCUCUGCCCAGCUCCUGAAUGCUGACAUUGGGAGGACAUACAGCACAUACCUGGCUGCAGCUAACAUGUUACUCCCGGUUGGCAGCACUGUCAAAGCUGGGGCAGACCGUCCUAGGUUAGGGAAGAGGCCCGGCAUGAUCCAGCCCUAUAGUCAAGGGGAAGGGGACUGGUAGCCAUGUCUGGGAGAAGGGAGAAAGUAGUUUCUACAAAUACUGCUCUCCGUGCUCCUUAAAAACUGUGCGUUUCUUUUGUAAAAUUAACACAGAGUAAAGUACAAAGUAAAAGGUUUUUUGUUUUUGUUUUUUUAAAUCUCUCUUACUAAAGUAAAGUUGUUCUAGUUUUAGUUUCAAUCAAGUCUAAGGGCUAAUUCUUAAAUUAACCUAUCAGCAUAGUUUCACUAAAACAUUAAGAGAGCCCUUUGUGGCACAAACCAGUGGGUCUCUGCGAAGCUGAGUUACUCUGGAAGGCACCAAAACCAAAAAGGCAUAGCUGCUAAAUAAAUCCUAGAAAAAAAAUAGUUAUUAAAGGUAUGGGUGUCGGGGUGCAUUCUGUGGUCAAUGCAUGUUCUGUGGUCAGGGCAUGCGCAGUUCACGCUUCCCUACCAGGAACUAUCCGACAUGGCGCCAUUCUCCAGCUCCCGGUGUCUUGCUGCCUCGAGCAAGCCCUUUUCUUUUGCUGUGCUUUGGCAGCUCUUCCCGAGUCCCUGUGGCUUAUGACAGUCUGUCCAAUUAGCUGUCGGCAGGCACGCUUCCUUUUCCCUCCGCUGCAAUGACCUUACACACUCGAAGGAGACUCCAUACCAUUAACUGGUUUAAUCAGAGCUAAACAGAAAGCUGGUCUCAAAGCCCCACUGCUAGGCAACAAGGGGAGCCCGCCGAACUAACUCUCUGGCAGAGAGUAUUUCUAAACUCCAGAUGAGAACAAUUACUGCAACUUCACAAUAAAUCGUUAACUUGGUCAAGAAUAAUAUCUUGUAGAAAGUGUCAGGAAAAGUCGACAAUUGCGAUCUGAAAAUCACCAGUCUAAAACUCUGGAGGAUAGACAUGAUGCUCUUUCUAGAUUCUGGACCAUUUUGGAUUUCAGAGAUUUUUGACCGGGUGUGCUCGAUUGGUAAAAUCUGCGCAUGCAUCCUCAAAUACAAAUAACUCCCAGGUCUGAAUCGCCUGUGGUCCUAAAGCAUUUUGUAUACAAGGACACACAACCUAUACAGGGAAAAACUAAGUUAACCUAUCAGAAUUUAUUUCUCAUUUCCUUGGAAGGCAAGGUCUCUGGUACCCUGGCCUCCAACUUGUUUAUAGCUCAGGGGGAUCCUCCUGCCUCCUUUACCUUCUGAGCCCUGGGAUUAUAGGCCUGUUUUCUUGUAGUACUCCGGAAUUAAAUCAGAGCUUCACGCAUGCUGGGCAAGCACUCUACAAACUGUGCUGUGUCUCCAGGCCCUGCUUGCUGAAUUUAAAUGAGUGUCUUUUCUGAUCUAUCCCAAUGCGCAAUGGAGAAUAUAACUCCGCCAUGCACCAUGGGUAACUAGCUUCCUGUACGUGCUUGAACGGCUCGCCUCCACCGAGCGUGAGAGGCAGCCAAUACUCUCCUUCAGAGGCACCUUUUGCGAGUCCUUUGCUGGUAUCUGCUUUGAGAAACAGUGAGGGAAGCCAGUUCUCACCGUGAAAUCAGACUAAUUUAUUAUCCUUAAUCCGGAGCUAGCUUAGACUUCAAGCUCUGUUAGCUAAAAUACUUUAUCCACAUCUAUCAAGGGAGGAAAAGGUUAAGAUUAGGGGGAAGGCUUUUAAAGGCUAACAGACUUCAUGAGAAGGGUUUCUUACGACUUCGUAGAAAACAAACCCCUCUUAAAAAACAACUUUAAUGAGUUAAGUGCAAAAUGAAUGGGAAACAUGUGGGUUAUAUUUCCUUUAAGAUGUGCGAGGGCUUAAACACUCGAGGGAAUGUGUUUGCAAAGUGUGUCUGAGGAGUGUUACAAAAUAGAUUUCAAAAUGCUUGAAAAAUAGCCUGCGGUAGCUAACCGGCCUCAGAUGGGUCACGACAGUUCAGCCGCCCCUCACUGCAAAAUGACUGCAAGCUCGGCCGUCCAAGAUUUGUGUUAUGGAAGGGUAGUCAUACUGUGGUUAGUUAUUUGUUUAGGAAAUUACUGAAGAUGUGCUAACUGGAAGACAUCUGGAGCGUUCGGCAUGACACUGGGCUGAGGAAUGGAGCCUCAGUGGUGCCCAGUCGCUGAGGACAACCAUGCAUGCAGCCAGGGGAAUGGGGCCGAGACCCCGAGUGGGCAACUUGUAGAGAGCCGGACCACUUACAGGAGGCUCAAAAUGCAUUGCUCUGAAGCUCUCAGGAUGCUAGGUUUAUUCCGUAAAGCCUUGCACUGAAAAACAAGACCCAUGCACAUGCAUGCCCCCAAUGCAGCAGCAGCAGCAGCAGCAGCAGCAGCAGCGACAGCCCCGGUUUACAGCUCAUGACACUGCAGCGCCUGAUUCCCCACGUGUAUCACUAAUGUAAAAAGCAACAGGAUGUGCUAUGACACUCUCUAAAAAUGCCCUGGUAAACGUACCCUGCCAGGAAGGGAAGGUGAGUGGUUCAAACCCUUAGAAGGCAGGGCAAAUCUGCCGAGUAACUUUUGUAUGUGGUAAUCUGGGGUCUAACCACAGCUAAGCUCGAUUGUGAUCCCAUAUAAAGCAGGUCACCGUACAGCCUGUCUCCUCUCUUCAGGAGGUGGAGUAGGAAUCCAGUGACAGUAAAUGCAUCUCAGAUAUUACUUGACACUGCAAAUGCUAUCUCCAGUCCUUUCAGGCCAGUGCGUCCUGUAUUUCCUAACUAUUGGCAACUCGAAUUAAUCAGCUCUGCACUCCCAAUCCAAAAUGCUCCAGAACGGGAAUUCUAGACAAGAUAUACCACAAGUGGAGACCGACACUGACAGGACACAGUCAAAAUGUAAGAUUACUGUCGGGCUCCAUCUAGAUCUAUUCAAAACAUACACUCUUGGUUUAGACUUUGGUCCCAGGCUCAAGAUAUACACAAAUAUUCCCGAGUCCCCAAGCAGCCAGACUCUUAAGCACUUCCAGCUGCCAGCACGAUGAAGGAGAAGCACUCACACUGUGUAUAUAGCAAACAUUUUGCUCUGUGACACGUGACUUGCUUUUGCUUCAUAGUGAGAAAUGCACGCGUGUUGGUUCCUAGACUAGAAGAUCAUUGAAAAUCGCCAGUCAACGCCUCACCUCAGAGAGAGAUGUCUGGACCAUGGUUGGCUCCUGAUUUCAGCCCUGGAUAAUGGCGAGUUGGAAGAAGUAAGGUUAGGAGAGACCAUAAAGGGGACAAAAAUUGCUUUGUUUCCCACCCAUUUGCGGGGUAGAAGAAGAACCAGCCAGGAGAGACACGGAAAUCCUGUUCCUGUUAGGAAGGAAGUAGAGGAUGUAGGUAGGGGACAGAAGAUUGCUCAGGGCAUUCUCAGACUGAUUGAUUCCUGCUUUCUCAGGGGAAACCCUCUAGCAGUGAGUUCUGCUGUGCCCCAAUCCAUCUCACAACUUCAAGCUGCACUGGUCCUGGGCCCUACGCAAAGGACAAAGGACUGAUGAACAGAGUGGGACAAGUUGGUCCUUCCUGGUCUCUUCUAGUUUGGUACCGCUCACCCAAGUCUUUUCUUGUCUACACUUCGGAAGGGUAAAACCCACUUGUGGUCACAGGGAGUGAGAAAAGUGGGGCCACAGAACUGUUUCCAGGCACCUUCCAAGCUGUAAAUAUGACCCAGUUGUGUGGCAAUGGAGCGAUGUGCAAAUCCCAACUUCACGCUUGGUUUACCUAGAGCAUUUCUGGGAUUUACGUGUCUUCGUUUCUCUUUCGUGGUUCUGAUAAGACUGCCAAGAGCCACAUAAGGGAGAAUGGUUUAUUCUGGCUUACAUUUUAAAAGUCCAUCAUGGCGCGGCAGUCACAGUAGCAGGGGCAGCAAGCAUCUGGUCACGUGGCUGAUCACGUGGUGCAUCCACAGUCAGAAAGCACAGAGGGAUGCACGCGUGCUCGUGCUCCAAGGGACGCAUGCGUGCUCGUGCUCCAAGGGGCGCUUGCGUGCUAGUGCCCCACUCACUUUCUCUAACACAGUCCGGAAUCCUCACACAGCCUGCCCACAGUUGAGAUAUAUCUUACCACAUCAAUUGACAUCAUGCAGAUGACUUCUCAGACAUUCUCAGAUGCUAACAUUAAUCUAGAUAUUUCCUCACAGGUGUGCCAGAAGCUUGUCUCCUAGGUAACUGAGGAUCCUGUCAGGAUGAUGAUUAACACAUCACGCAGACUCACAAAGAAACCAGAGAGAUGACAACAUACAAUUCACACACCCGAACUUCACCCCUCCCUGUCUCCAAACAGCCCCAACUCAGUCUCCAUGACAGCGGAGCAAAGGUUUCACCAGAACACUGAGAAACCAGUGGACUGUGUGACAUGUGUGAACCUGCUCCUUGGGGUGAAAUACAUUCAAAUAAAGGCCGGCCACACAGGGAAGCACAACGUCUACGCUUCACGGAUCUCACCUUUCCCUCGGGAGGCAGAGGCAAGACGCUCUCUGUGACUUCAGCUUGGUUUACGUAUUUAUUUCCAGGCUGGACAGGGGCUACAAGAUUGCCGUUUCUCCCUUUAUGAGCUAAAUCCAUGCUUUAGUAGAAGCUGGGAGUGACAGUUACCAAAGGAAAUAUCCAGCCAGAGCCUCAGAGUCCAGCACGGCUUGGCAAGCCACACAGCCUCCAUCUACCUUCCUACACACAGAGAGUGACCAGCAGUGUGGCCAUGACGGGAGCAUCCACGACGCUCCUGUCACACAACUACGCGCAUGCCGGUCACUGGGCUGUCGCUCCAGUGCUCCUGUUUCCCAGGGAAGUAGACCGAGUACUUCUACUGUGGUAACACACCUGCUUUACAAUCCAGAGCAGCAAAGAAAACAGUUCCUACUGUGGGCAAGGUAACGUGCCUCGCGCGGCCAUGACUUGUGCGGCCAUGACUCGUGCGGCCAUGACAGCAUGUCUUACAGAAGCAUGUCUUACAUCUGAGCGGCCUCUUACAGAUCCGCGCAGGAGUUUAAGACAAGCAAAGCCUUUGCCACCCACUGACAGCUUCUGAGGAGGGAGAGAGUCGGAAGCACAUCUGACUUACUAACUCAGCGGCUACAGACCAACCUAGCAUAGACGCAGGCCUGCACUGCGGGAGCAUGAGGACUUCAGGGGGAAAAAAGGUUUAUGCAAAGGUAAGUAAUGCCAAUGCCAGGAAAGGGCUACCAACCACCAGGGUUAGAGAGAAGGGCUGUCUAUCUGUCUGUCUGCCUGGCUGCUUGUCUGCCUCUCUCUCUCUCUCUCUCUUCCUUCCUUCUUUCCUCCCUCCCUCCUUCCCUCCCU